GAUGAACGCUGGCGGCGUGCCUAAUACAUGCAGUCGAGCGAACAGACGAGGAGCUUGCUCCUCUGACGUUAGCGGCGGACGGGUGAGUAACACGUGGAUAACCUACCUAUAAGACUGGGAUAACUUCGGGAAACCGGAGCUAAUACCGGAUAAUAUAUUGAACCGCAUGGUUCAAUAGUGAAAGACGGUUUUGCUGUCACUUAUAGAUGGAUCCGCGCCGCAUUAGCUAGUUGGUAAGGUAACGGCUUACCAAGGCAACGAUGCGUAGCCGACCUGAGAGGGUGAUCGGCCACACUGGAACUGAGACACGGUCCAGACUCCUACGGGAGGCAGCAGUAGGGAAUCUUCCGCAAUGGGCGAAAGCUUGACGGAGCAACGCCGCGUGAGUGAUGAAGGUCUUCGGAUCGUAAAACUCUGUUAUUAGGGAAGAACAAAUGUGUAAGUAACUAUGCACGUCUUGACGGUACCUAAUCAGAAAGCCACGGCUAACUACGUG
This 496-nucleotide ribosomal RNA is filed under the name uncultured bacterium. RNAcentral describes it as "partial 16S ribosomal RNA". It matches the Rfam family "Bacterial small subunit ribosomal RNA", at positions 28 to 507 of the family's 1533-position model. The record is from RNAcentral.